ACAAACUUGGUCAUUUAGAGGAAGUAAAAGUCGUAACAAGGUAACCGUAGGUGAACCUGCGGUUGGAUCAUUACCAAUCGGAGCAAAAAUCUCCGUCACCUUUUGUGAAUUUGCAAUUGUUAUUGGCAGUUUACGGCUUUCGCUGUCUCGUGAUAGUACAUCCGAGUGACUUUGUAAGGCGUUAAGCGUUACAAGGUCGGCUGCCGACUGACCUGGUCUCAACAGCCAGGCUGGUUAAACAAACAUGCAUCUUAUCUAGUCUUGAAAUCUUCCAAUUUUUUGGAGAAUUCUAAAUAGCAAACAACUUUUGGCAACGGAUCUCUUGGCUCUCGCAUCGAUGAAGAACGCAGC
RNAcentral lists this unclassified non-coding RNA (351 nucleotides) under uncultured fungus. RNAcentral's name for it is "partial contains small subunit ribosomal RNA, internal transcribed spacer 1, and 5.8S ribosomal RNA". The stretch from base 1 to 73 matches the Rfam family "Eukaryotic small subunit ribosomal RNA", at positions 1759 to 1831 of the family's 1831-position model. The record is from RNAcentral. Lineage: Eukaryota; Fungi.